Molecule: RNA transcript, 3458 nt
Organism: Serinus canaria (Common canary)
Lineage: Eukaryota; Metazoa; Chordata; Aves; Passeriformes; Fringillidae
Gene name: ectonucleoside triphosphate diphosphohydrolase 8
Exons: 12
Source: RefSeq, a predicted model, not a curated record
GUCACUCGGCUCUGCGGGACUCUCGCUGUCCUGCUGCAGGCCGAGCCAGGCUGGCAGCGGGGCUCGGGACAGAAACAGGAAGGACCUGCGCCCAGAGCCCGCCCCGGCCGGGGCCGGACCCGGACGUCCGAGAGCGGCUCAGCUUCGCUUUCGCUUCGCUCUGCACCGCCGGGGCGGCGUGGGCCCGGAGCCGGCGGGGAACGGGCUGUGCCCCGAUCGCCGCCCCACGGAGGGACAGAGAAGGCUCCGGACACAGACCUCCCCAGAGCCCAUCGAUGUCCCCGCGCCUGCUCAGGGCCGUGGGCUGGGCGGCCGUGCUGGUACUGCUGACCGUGGUCGUCUUCGUCAUGGUUCUGAUCCCGGCAAAGGAUGCUGUCCUUCCUACCAGAAUCAAAUACGGCCUGGUGUUUGACGCUGGCUCCACACACACAUCCCUCUACACCUACCAGUGGCGUGCGAACAAGGAGAACGGCACGGGCAUCGUGUCCCAGGUGGAAGCCUGCUCUGUGUCCGGACCCGGCAUCUCCAGCUACGCAGAUGACCCCGCGGGGGCUGGUGCCAGCCUGAAGCCUUGCCUGGACAGGGCCAUGAAGAUCAUCCCGGCCGAGCAGCAGCGGGAGACCCCCACGUACCUGGGGGCCACGGCCGGCAUGCGGCUGCUGAGGGAGGAGAACAGCAGCAAGGCCGAGCAGGUCUUGGUCGAGGUGUCCAAGGCCAUUGGGGAGUACCCUGUGGAUUUCCGUGGAGCUCGGAUCCUGACGGGGAGCGAGGAGGGCUCCUUUGGCUGGAUCACUGUGAACUACCUGCUGGAGACACUGGUCAAGUUCUCGUUUGCAGAGAAAUGGGAACAUCCCCAGGACAUCGAGGUUCUGGGAGCUCUGGACCUUGGCGGUGCCUCGACGCAGAUCACCUUCCAGCCUGGGGUCCCUGUGGAGGACAGGAACACGUCCGUGUUCUUCCGGCUCUACGGCACCAACUAUUCCCUGUACAGCCACAGCUACCUGUGCUACGGGCAGAGCCAGGCCCUGAAGAUGCUGCUGGCAGCUCUGCACCAGGUGCCACAGGGCACGGGAGCUGCUCAGCCAUCUCCCAGUGCCGUGGCACAUCUCCCCCUGCAGCGUUGGGCGUGCCUGUGGGCAAAGAGUUGGGAAUUGGCAGAACCUUGGGUUUUAUCUAGGGAAGCCAAAAAUUGCCUCAUUUGGGUGGAAGGUGGUGGAGGCUGCCAGCCAGGGCUCCCUUCUCCCCACAUCUUGACGUGCAGUGGCAUUUUUUGUAAUUUCCCAAGCCCAGCGGUAUGUGUAGUUUUUCUGCUGUCGCCGUGCUCUUGGCCUUGCUCCAUUUCUGCCCAGAGAGAGGUUUCCCAGCAUAGUCCCUGCACAACUGCCCGAGGACAGAGGCAGAGCCCAGGGCUGCUCAGGGAGCUCCCAGGUGGGGUGCAUCCAGUCCUCCUGGGGUGUAGUCCUGCUUUUUGGGAUGGGCUGUGGGAAGGGUCUCAGUGGCGUUGCAGUCCCAUUAAUGGCUCCAUCCCUCUCCAGGCCAGCUUGAGUACCCAGAUCAAGCAUCCCUGCUACCCCCAGGGGUACCAGGAGAACAUCACUGUGGCAGAGCUCUACGACAGCCCCUGUGUGCAUGCGCCAAGCUCAGCCAGCCCUGGCCCUGUCCUCACAGUGACGGGGACAGGGGACCCAGCCGCGUGUGCCACGGCCAUCCGGAGCCUCUUCAACUUCACCUGCAGGGCGCAGGGGCCGUGUGGGUUCAAUGGGGUCUAUCAGCCCCCCGUGCGGGGACAGUUCUUCGCCUUCUCGGGGUUUUAUCACAGCCUUCACUUUCUGAACCUGACAGGAGGGCGGUCCCUGAGCUUGGUCAAUGCCACCAUCAUGCAGAUAUGCAACAGCAGCUGGAAACAGGUGCAGGAGUUGUUCCCCAUGGCGAGCAGGACCCAGCUCCGUGACACCUGCACAGCCAGCUCCUACAUCCUAACCCUCCUCCUGAAAGGCUACAAAUUCAACAUCACAACUUGGCCCAGCAUCCACUUCAUCCAGCAGGUUGCUAACGUAGAUGUGGGCUGGACUCUGGGCUACAUGCUUAAUCUCACCAACAUGAUCCCCUCAGAGCCUCCUACAGCAGUCACAGAGCUCCCGAGAAGCAUCUGGAUAGCAGCCACACUUCUGCUGGCCAUCAUGCUCAUCCUCAUCUUCUGCCUGCUCACAGCCAUGUGCUGCCACAGAAACUCCUUGGGCUAUGAGCAGCUGUAGCAGCACUGCCUCCAGAGGCUGUCGAAGCCACAAGUCUUGCUGCCACACCUCUGCAAGGAGGGUGACUUAGGAACACUGCUGGGACAUGGCAGAGGCAGCUUCCAGGGCCACACGUACAUUUUUGGGGAGUCCUACUGGCAGCCAAGUGAUGGGUGAAAAGGAAGAGGAUGAGAUGGGUGGUGAGAUGUGAUGAUGAGGUGAUGUGACAUGCCAUAACACAGUGAUGAGAUGAUGAGAUGGACUCUCUGGAGGGCACCCUUCUGGCUGGGUGCUCUGUGUUCUUUCUCCAAGACCAUCUCCACGAAAGCCCCAGCCACAGACCCUCCACAGGGCCAGCUGGGGUCCCACAGAGCAUCCCUCAGGCUAGCAGACCCAGCAGGGACCCACCAGCUCUUGGUGGCCACGCUCAGAGCUGGCAUUCCAUGGAGCACUCUGUCCCCAGGUGCCUGCCUCUUGCUCCAGCAGGCUGGCACCAGGGCACUGUCCCAGGGCCAGGCUGGCCCUCCACAGCCCCAGGGGCAGCUGGUGGGAUGGAGCCAUGGCUGUAACACGCAGAGCACUGACGGAGGCACUGACAGGAGGCAUGCAGGCUCAGCUGAGGCUUCUGCAGGCUGAUCCCAUUGUGCUUCCAUGGGAGUGGAGCUCCUCUGGAAACCUCAGAGAGUGCCUGUCUGCAUGUUGGGGGCCAGGCUCGUGGAAAAGCAAGCCCCAGUUCUCUGAGCUGUGCAGGUGACUGUGCUCAGCAGCACAGACCCAGUCCUGGCUCCAGUUAUGCAAGCAGGAGCAUGGGGACUCCAGUACAGUGCCGCAGCCCCAGUGUUGUCUUGGUUUUCUGGGGUCCCAGGAUGAGGGAAGAGACGACAAAGUUGACUCCAUGUAUCAGAAGGCUUGAUUUAUUAUUAUAUGAUAUAUAAGAUAUAAAAACUAUACUAAAAGAAUAAAGAGAAGGAUUUCACUACUAAAGCUAAGCUAAGAAUAGAAAAGGAAUGUAUAAACUGAGGUCUUCUCAGCCUGAGCCCAGCCGAACAGGUGUUAUGUGAUAGGCCCCCAAUUGCAAACAGUCUGACGGGGCCAAUCACAGAUUUCUUCUUGUCGCUUGUUGCAUUCCACAGCAGCAGAUAAGAACCGUUCACAGUUUGCUCCUGAGGCCUCCCAGCUCCCAGGAGAGGAAAAAAUCCCAAGUAAAGGAUUUUUCACAAACCA